RNAcentral lists this ribosomal RNA (562 nucleotides) under Klebsiella pneumoniae. RNAcentral describes it as "bacterial SSU rRNA". It matches the Rfam family "Bacterial small subunit ribosomal RNA", at positions 88 to 645 of the family's 1533-position model. Lineage: Bacteria; Pseudomonadati; Pseudomonadota; Gammaproteobacteria; Enterobacterales; Enterobacteriaceae. The record is from RNAcentral.
GUGACGAGCGGCGGACGGGUGAGUAAUGUCUGGGAAACUGCCUGAUGGAGGGGGAUAACUACUGGAAACGGUAGCUAAUACCGCAUAACGUCGCAAGACCAAAGUGGGGGACCUUCGGGCCUCAUGCCAUCAGAUGUGCCCAGAUGGGAUUAGCUNGUAGGUGGGGUAACGGCUCACCUAGGCGACGAUCCCUAGCUGGUCUGAGAGGAUGACCAGCCACACUGGAACUGAGACACGGUCCAGACUCCUACGGGAGGCAGCAGUGGGGAAUAUUGCACAAUGGGCGCAAGCCUGAUGCAGCCAUGCCGCGUGUGUGAAGAAGGCCUUCGGGUUGUAAAGCACUUUCAGCGGGGAGGAAGGCGGUGAGGUUAAUAACCUCAUCGAUUGACGUUACCCGCAGAAGAAGCACCGGCUAACUCCGUGCCAGCAGCCGCGGUAAUACGGAGGGUGCAAGCGUUAAUCGGAAUUACUGGGCGUAAAGCGCACGCAGGCGGUCUGUCAAGUCGGAUGUGAAAUCCCCGGGCUCAACCUGGGAAACUGCAUUCGAAACUGGCAGGCUAAA